UUUUAAUGUGUGUUCCUUUUCUAGCCACUUCCUGAUGACAAAACUCAAUUUUACAAUCAGCUGACUCUGAAGAGCCUCACAGAAGACCAGAGGAAAUCUCACAGCCAUGCUUUUAAAGUCUGCAAGACCUUCAAGGAUAUCCUGUGUGUUGAGCUGAUCUCGGAUCAGUCUCUGGUGGUGGUUGAGCGCCCUCUAGAGGACGUCGCCACUCAGUUGCCUGCACCCAUCAAACAAAAGAAAUUUGCCACAUAA
Molecule: long non-coding RNA, 252 nt
Organism: Sinocyclocheilus grahami
Lineage: Eukaryota; Metazoa; Chordata; Actinopteri; Cypriniformes; Cyprinidae
Exons: 2
Source: RefSeq, a predicted model, not a curated record